UUUCUGUCAAAGUCUUGGUAAUGGCAUAAGAACUCAAGUUUGACUUAACUUCUGAUCGAAUGUAAUCCACAUCACUCCAAUAACUCUCGUCCAUAAUCUCCACAUUCUUGAUCUUGUUGAAAAAUACGGCGGUAAUACUAGAAGUGUAUACAACUUUCUUCACUGUGUUUGAUCUCAAGCAUGUCUUCAAGAUGCCUAAUGUUCCAUCGAUUGACCUUUGGGUCACAACUGCUUCGGGUUCGUUGUCCUGGAAAUCCAUGGGAGCAGCAACAUGGAAAACUCCUUUGCAUCCCUCGAUGGCAGUACCAAAACUCUCGGGAUCAUUAAGAUCUGCUAACAGUGGUAUGAACAGAGUAACUGAGCUCAAGAAGCAGUUUGAUCAACCAGGAGCCAACGUAACCGUUCCCUCCAGUCACGCAUACUGUUCCUUUAUCUCCUUCCAUAUCUCUUACCUUUCCAGAGGAAUGGGUGGUGUUCUUAAUUAUUGCUUCCGUGGAAUUGUUUGUUUUGACUUUGAAAUGCGAAGUCACGCACAAUAUCCACUCAUGCAUUUUAAUACCAUAAGGAAUUUUAUAUACAUAUGCGUACAUGUCGACUUACCUAUUCAGCCAACAUAUAUUUCUACAUAUUCAAACACAUUUUCUAAUUUCACAUCGCUAACAAUUCAUCGGGAUUAGCAUUCUUAUAAUGUUCAAAAUUAAUAUCUAGUUAAUUAUUUAAUGUCUUAACGUCAAAAUUUGAGAAUUUAAAGAGAAUUUAAAAUGUGAUCCAUUUAGCGCAAUGUUAUUUGAUGGUAUUGAAAAAGUCUCUAUCUAAAUUGAAUUUUUAACGAGGAGAUCUUCUCAUUUCAGGUCGAUCAAGACAAAAAAUAAUAUCCAGUAAGUUGGGGCACAAAAUCUCGAAUUCUCGAAAAUAAGAACGCUUACCUUUUAAAUAUUGCCCAAAUCUUAUAUUUUUAAUUAUUUUUUAUAGAGAGAAGGGACGCUCGAUUAUUUCGGUUCAAGGAAAAAAUCAUAUCUCGUAAGUUAGGGGCACAAUUUCUUGAAUCCUUAAAAUAAAUAAUAUUGCCUUGGUUCAAAUCAUUGCUUAUGCGUUUGCGCAGAAAAAUAGAUGGGUGUAUGUAGCAAUAUUUACAAUGCAGGAUGAUGGCAAAAUUAUGACAUUAAUAAAAUAACAACAUAGUUAAUAAAAUAAAAUGACAAUAAUAUAAUGAGUACAAUAAAAAUGAUGAAAUAAAAAAUAUUAUAUAAUAAUACUAAUAGUGAAAUAAUAUAAAAAUGUAUGAUAAUAAUAUAAUUACAUUCAUAAUAUAAUGAUUUUUGAGCGAAUUUUAACAAAAUUAAUAUUAAUUAAAAACGAUGAUCACUUAAUAAUAUUAAUAAUAUCAUUAAUUAAAAAUAAAGGACCAAAAUAAAAUAAUUGGGAAAUUUGACAGCAAAAAAUUAAAAUACAGCAAGUACAUGGACUUAAUUAAAUGAACAUGGGACUAAAUUGAAAUUGUGAAAAAACCUCAAGUAUAAAUAAAUAAAAACAAUAAAUAAAAGGGUUAAAUAAAAAUAAUAAAAUGUAGGGACAAAAAGAGUAAAUAACCCCAAACCCAGUACAUGUCAUUCCCAAAUGGUCUAUAGUCUAGGGAUUGAACUGAAUAUGUAGCAAAAUUUAAAGCAUAAAUAAUAAAAUAUAUAUAUAAAGGGUCGAAUUAAAAUAAAAUGGAAAAGUGAAAGGCCUUAAAAGGGAAAUUAUCCCAAUCCCACAUCAUUUCCUUGGUUCAACAGUGGGUCCAGGGACCGACUUGCAAGGAGAUUAAAAUAAUGGGGUAAAAAUGAAAUAAAUAAAAAAAGUAUAGGAUAAAAUUUAAAAAAGGGAAAAAAACGGAAGGGUCUAGGAAGCAAUUUUCCCAACCCUUUAAAAAACACGUGGAACCUAGGGCCAUUUGGGUCGGAUCAUCAGAUUAUGCUCGAAAUGACUUCGUUUUGGGUGUCUAAAGCCAAGCUCAAAACAAUGUUUUUUUUAAAGGGCUUUUAUAAGUAAAAAAUUCUAAAAAACAAAUCAUUUGCAACCUUUUAAAAAAACUCUCUCUGACCUCUCUCAUCUCCCCCUUUCUGAUCGGCCAUGGGAUGGUGGGUCUCCUUCGUGGCCACCAGUCAUCGGCGACGUAGACCGUCGCCUCCGGUGGUCGGAGAUCGUCAAAAGACCCAUUUUUUGAUCCUUUCGACUUCCUUAACCCAAAUCCAGGGCUAAAUACCCUUGAAACUUCACCGAGAUUCUUAAAAAACCAAGGGAACCCUUCGGUUUCUCUCCUCCAAAGAAGCCAUCGACGAACCCCGAGGGAUUUGGAGACCCUCCCAAAUCGAAAAAAGACCUUUUAACAGUGAUAAACAGGUAAAGUUCAAGCCUUUAUUUUAUUUUUGUAUGUUUUUCGAAAUAAAAACAGAAAAAAAAAGAUGAACCUUAGUUUUUUUUAACCUUGUUUUUAUAUUUUUUAUACUCUUUACGAAAGAAAAAAAAAGGAAUCAAAAUAGAAGUCUUAAAAAACCACCUUUGCAAUUUGUUUUUUUCUUUGUAUUAUCUGUUAAAUUUCUUCGUAAAAAGGAGAGAAAAAAUUACAAAUUGUUCAUUGGCUUUUUAUAGCCGAAAAUACAAUAUAUUAUUUUUGUCUUCUUUAUUUCUGUCUCUCUGCUUCUAUUUCUCUGUUUUCUAGAAGUGGUGGUGGCAAGGACGAGGCGAUAGUGUCAUGCCUCAGAUUGCACGCCUGCUGACGUGGCGAGGUGAGCGACGGCUGGAGACUUUAUGGGGAGCUAAGGUUUCUGAAAUUUUUUUAAUGUUUUUGGAUUUAGGGCUUAAGUAAAUUAGGAUUUAGGGUUUUGCAUUUGGGCUUGUAAUGGAUUGGACUUUUAAUUAAUCGACUAUUUUUUGGGUUAUUUUUGGGCCAGAUAAAAAUGGACCUCUACAGCUGCCCCUCUUUGCUUAUUGUUGUGUAACGGGAAGGGAGCAAAGACUUUAAAAGAGGACCAAUUUUGUCCAGUCCCGCUGCAUCUCGACUUUCCUGGUGUUUCUCUUUUCCAACUAACCCACUUUUUCAAUUCAUUGGUUACUUUACUUUACUGUACCCAUUUCGCUACAACUUUAGAAAGGAGGGAUUUCAUGUUACAGCUUCAUCUUGCUCCAUUGCAACUUCAAGGAGAUAAAAUUUACUGUUAUAGUUUCAAUCUAUUCUACUACAACUUCAGGGAUAUGAGAUUUUUAGUUUCAUUCGAAACUACUACAACUUCAGGGGUAUAAGAUUUGUAGCUUCAUCUUGCUCUACUACAACUUCAAGGAGAUAAGAUUUGCUAUGGUAGCUUCAAUUCGAUCCACUGCAUCUUCAGAGAUAUAGGAUUUGUAGCUUCAUCUUGCUUCAUUGUAUCUUCAAGGAGAUCAGAUUUGAUAUUAUAACUUUGAUCCGAUCCACUGCAUAUUUAGGGAUAUAGGAUUUAUAGCUUCAUCUUGCUCUACUACAACUUCAAAGAUAUAAGACUUGUAGCUUCAUCUUACUCCACUGCAGCCUCAGGGAGAUAAGAUUCGCCAUUGUAACUUUGAUCUGAUCCAUUACAUAUUCAAGGAUAUAGAAUUUGUAGCUUCAUCUUGCUCUACUGCAACUUCAGGGGAGAUAAGAUUUGAUAUUAUAAUUUUGAUCUGAUCUACUGCAUCUUUAGGGAUAAAUGAUUUAUAGUUUUAUCUUGCUACACUGCAACUUUAGGGAGAUAAGAUUUGUAGUUUCAUCUUACUCCACUGCAACUUUAGGGAGAUAAAAUUCGCCAUUAUAACUUUGAUCCGAUCCACUGCAUCUUCAGGGAGAUAAAAUUUUCCAUUAUAACUUUGAUCCGAUCCACUGCAUCUUCAGCGAUAUGGGAGUCACUAUUUCACUAAUCUAUUACACCGCUCUCUAGGGAACAGGACUUGUAAAAUCUAUUUCAUAGGCUUAUAAUUUGCCAAACAACUAGGAUGUUACGAGUAGAAUGAAUCAAAUGCUCCUAUCUAGAUGCAUAUGGAUAAUGAAUGCAACAUGUCAUUUUUUAGAAUGGUUUUGUCUUUUAACACUUAGGUCGAUAUUGCUCAUGGUUCAUCCAAGUUCUAUCACUGAUGCGUUACCACGCCUUCCAUUCAGCUCUGGUAUCUUUGACAGGAAAGCCUAAAAGGUAGUCAUAAUUUGGACUAUUUGUUUUAGGCUCUUUCCAUAUUUCAAAUUUGGUUAUUUCCAACUAGUGGUCCUAUUUUAGGUCCCUGUACUAUUUAGAAAUUUUCUUAGCGAUAUGCAAAAAUCCUUUUAUACUUUAACAUUGUUAGUCCACUAGUCGUUAUUUUAAUGCAAAAAUGCUUCAACAAGGUCGUAAAAGAAAUGGAUAAGACUAAAAUUUAUUGUGAGCAAAUCCCUUAAUGAAAAGAUUAAUCAAAAUGGAAAACAUUGCUAAAAUACAAAGUGAGUAAAAAUGAAACCAAGUGCCCCAGAUAUCGUAGUAUGAGCUUCUCCGAGCAAACUUGCCGAGGAUCAAUCUGAGUCUGAUAUGUGUUUGGGAGAUUCAGAGCACUCUGUUGAUGCCCCUAAGAUGUAAAGUUUUUCCUCCUUAUUCCCUUUGAGGGGAACGACCAUUUCAUGCUUAUUCUUUAAUCAAAAUUUGAGCCGCCCUUUUCGGGUUUUCAACUCAAAACUCUUUUGGUCUCAAGACGCCCUUUGUAGGUUUUCACCUUGGCCUCUCCAUUUUUUUAGGUGAAAUAUUUUUUGACUGAAUCCGAAUUCACAAGACUGGGCAGAUCUUUGCCAUCUAUAUCGGUUAGAAUCAACGCUCCUCUAAAAAAGUAUUUUUUUACCACAUAAGGUCCUUCUCAAUUUGGCAUUCAUUUUCCUCUAAAGUCCUUUUGUAUAAGAAUGAUUGUUUUCAACAUCAAGUCCCCCUCAUGGAAUUCUCUAGGGUGAACCUUUUUGUCAUAAGCUCACAUCAUUCAUUUUUGGUACAUCUGACUAUGACAGAUAGCUUUCAACCUCUUCUGUUCGAUCAAGUUCAACUAAUCAUAUCGAGAUUUGAUCCAUUCUGCUUCAUCUAACUUUAAUUAUAAUAAAAUUCAGAGAGAAAGAAUCUCAACUUCGAUAGGUAAAACAGCCUCCAUUCCAUAAACCAAUGAGAAAUGUGUUGCCCAGGUGGAGGUUCUGAUAGAUGUUCAAUAAGUAUAGAGGGCAAAUGGUAAUUUCUCAUGCCAAUCUUUAUAAGUCUUUGUUAUUUUCCCUACGAUCUUUGUAAUGUUCUUAUUAGCUGCCUCCACUGCACCAUUUAUUUUUGGGCGAUAUGGUGAUGAAUUAUGAUGUUUGAUCUUGAAUUGGCUACAGACCUCUACUAUCAUACUGUUGUUCAAAUUCAAUGUGUUGUCAGAUAUGAUCUUUUUUGGAAUUCCAUACUGACAUAUGAUCUCUUUCUUCAAGAAUUUGCUGACUGCCAACUUUGUGAUAUUAGCAUAAGAAGCGGCUUCUACCCACUUGGUGAAGUAGUCAAUGACCAUGAAGAUGAAUCGAUGCCCAUUGGAAGCCUUUGGCGAGAUUGACCCAAUGACAUCCAUACCCCACAUAAAGAAAGGCCACAAAGAAGUCAUCACAUAGAGAGGUGAAUGAGGCACAUGAAUUUUGUCACCAUAAGUUUGACAUUUAUGACACCUCUUGGCAUAAUGGAUACAAUCCCCUUCUAUGGUGGACCAAUAAUAUUCGGAUCUCAAGAUUUGUUUGGCCAUUGUAAAACUAUUGGCGUAUGUUCCGCAAACGCCUUCAUGGACUUCUUCUAGGAUUUUUUUGGCUUCAACAGCAUCCAUACAUCUCAGUAACACCUAAUCCUUUCUUCUUUUGAAUAGGAUCUCCGUAUCUAGGAUAUACUCAUUAGCCAACCUUCUUAGCGUCCUUUUAUCAUUCUCAGUUGCUUGCUCAGAUAUUUGUGGUUCUUUACAUAUCACAAUAUAUCAUAGUACCAAGGGUAAUCAUCCCUUUCUUCUUCCUCGAUGUUGCAACAAUGGGUUAAGGCCUCAUAAAUGCUCAUCUGGAUAGGUUUUACAUCUUCUUGUUUGUUCACUUUGACCAUGGAGUCUAAGAUAGCCAAAGUAUCAGCCAUCUGAUUUUCAUCUCGUGGGAGUUAGCAGAAGGUAAUGUCAUCAAACUCCUUAAUUAACUCGAGAACUAGCUUUUGAUAAUCAAUCAGCUUGGGAUCUCUCGUCUCUUAUUCACCUCUGAGUUGAUAGAUUACUAGUGCAGAAUCUUUAUAUACCUCCAGCACUUUGAUCUUACGUCCUAUAGCCGCACGGAUACCCAUGAUACACACUUCGUAUUUUGCCAUGUUAUUUGUGCAAUCAAAAUCAAGUUUAGUGGUGAAAGGAUAGUGAUCUCUGUCUGGGGAUACCAAGAAUGCCCAAUUUCGUUACCCAUGGCGUUUGAGGUGCCAUCAAAAUUCAAUUGCUAGGGAUGUUCUUUUGGAGCACCUUUUUCAAUGGUCGCAACAUACAUCAAAUCUUUAUUCGAGAAAUCAAAGUUUAAAGGCUCGUAAUCAUCUAGAGCUCUGCUAGCUAGGAAAUCUGCUAUUGCACUUCCCUUUAUUGUCUUCUGGUUUACAUAGAUUAUAUCAAAUUCGGAGAGUAAAAUUUGUCAUCGAGUCAUUCUUCCAUUCAAUGUGGUCGAGUCCAUCAUGUACUUUAGAGGGUCCAUUUUUGAAAUGAGCCAAAUCUUAUGGUACAACAUUAGUGGUUUAUUUGGGCUAGGUGGCAUCAGCACUAAGGCAUUGGACUAAUAAUGUUUAAUUUUGUCAAAGGUCUUCUGGCAUUCCUCAUCCCAUACACCUAGAUUAUGUUUUUUAACGAGACAAAAUAUGAUGUCACAUUUCUCGGUUAGUUGUGAAACAAACCUAGCAAUGUAAUUUAAUCUCCAUAAGAAACCCCUAACUUCCUUUGGGAUACUUGGCGAUUGUAACUCCUAUAUAGCCUUGACUUUGUAUAGAUCAAUCCCAAUCCCUUUCUCGCUGACUACAAAUCCCAACAAUUUACCCAACGUGGCCUCGAAAGUGCAUUUUCCUGGAUUCAGUUUUAGCUAGAAUUUUCUCAACGUCAAAAAUAGCUUCCUCAAAACUUUCACAUGCUCUUUCUCUAUUUGGGAUUUUGUGAUCAUAUCAUAAACAUAAACCUCAAUUUCUUUGUGCAUCAUAUCAUGGAACAAAGUCACCAUGGCUCUUUGAUAUGUUGCUCCUAUAUUUUUCAGUCCAAAUGGCAUCACUUAUAACAAAAUGUUCCCCACAUUGUUAUAAAUGUGGUUUUCUCCAUAUCUUCAGGAUGCAUCUUUAUCUGGUUGUAUCUAGAGAAACCAUCUAUGAAAGAGAAUAGUGAAUGGCUUGCCGUGUUAUCCAUCAAAGUAUCGAUGUGGGGUAACAGAAAAUUGUUCUUCGGGCUAAAUCCCUCUAAUCUACACACAUUCGCACUUUCUCAUCUUUCUUAUGAACGGGGACUAUAUUGGCUACCCACUUCGAAUAUUUGACCACUUGUAGGAAACCAGUAUCAAACUAUUUCUUGACCUCUUCUUUUAUUUUCAAUUGUAUGUCUGGUUUCAUCCUUCGAAGUUUCUGCUGAACUGGCUUGCAUUCUUCUUUUAUGGGAAGUUGGUGUACCAUGAUAUCAAUACUUAGACUAGACAGAUCUUCAUACGACCAUGCGAAGAUAUCUUUGAAUUCUUGGAGUAACUCAACAAGGUCUUGCCUUGUUUCUGUAGUGAUGCAAGUCCUGAUUUUGAACUCUUUCUUUUCUUGCUCAUUCCAUGAUCUCACAAUUUCCAUUGACUCUUUGUGUGGUAGGACCUAUUUCUUAUCUUGCUCUAGCAUCCUUAACAAAUCAGGAAAUAAAUUACAAUAUCGAUCAUCUUCAAAGUCCUGAUGUUCCUCUGGACAUAUAUCCUACUCAAAAGGAAACUCUGAGUUAACAACAGCAUUGUUCAUAUCAUUGAUAUCUGGAGACCUGUUAUAGGAAUAAAAAGAGACCCAAUGAACAAAUGGAUUUAAGAAUGAUUAACUGUGUGGUAUGAGUACGAAUGAAAUGGAAAAAAAUGCUAGAAUGUUUGCCAAGAGGGGAUAUAAAAAUACAUUGUUUUUAUUGAAAUAAAGAUAAUGGACAUACACAUUUUCACAAAAGGAUCCCUAUUGCUCCCAGGCUUUAGAGCAAUAGGUGUGUUUUGAGUAUUACUCUGAAAUAGUCCUAAAAAUUACAGGAAUCUCCUCCACAGUCUAGUUGUUCAGAAGACUUCCGGUGAUGCAACGAUAAAUUCCUGAUAGAUUUUCUUCUUUAGUUCCCUCUUUAGAGGCACAAACAUAUUACCCCUCUAAACCCUUGAUAUCUUUAAAGAAUUUCAACUCUUUGUCAUCCAUCAAGAUCUAUACUAGAGUUCUGAACUCGGUACACUUUUGGAUUUCAUGACCUCCCACAGCGUGAAACUCACAGUAGUUCUUUACUCCUUUUGGCACCUCCUCUGAAUUUUGAAUGAUCAAACCCACGUCUCUGAAUUUUGAAUGAUCAAACCCACGUCUAUCAUUUUUUGCCAAACCCAUUUUAGAGAGGAUUUAACCUCAGCAACAUCAUUUUUGGUCCUCUUGCCCCCACUCUCGAUUAUCACAUUUGCCCCAACUCUUAUUAUAUAUGCUUAUAGUGUUUACUUCAUUUUCUUUCUUUCUCGGCACAGACCUUUUAGCAUUUUCCUCCUCAUCUAUCUUCCCACUCCUUAUCGCGUUCUUAAUCAUUUCUCCAGACAUAACUAUAUCCGAGAAGCUCUUGAUAGUACUUCCUAGUAUGUGAAUGAUGAACAAGGCUUUCAGAGUAUUAACAAAGAGCAUUGUCAUUUCUUUUUCCAAUAGAGGUGGCUAAACCUGUGUUGCCACAUCUCUUCACCGUUGAACGUAUUGCCUGAGGCUUUCAUUUGGCUUUUUUUCUAUGUUUUACAAUGUAAUUCUAUCUGACAUCAUAUCAGUAACAUGGCUAUACUGUUUCAUGAAGGCCUACGCCAAAUCCUUUCAUGAAUUAAUCCUGGAACGGUUUAACUAAUUUUACCAUUUAGCAGCCAACUCAAUCAAGCUAUCUUGGAAACAAUGGAUUAAUAAUUGAUUGUUGUUGACGUAUCCAGUCAUUCUUUGGCAAAACAUUGUUAUAUGGGCCUCAGGGAAACUAGCCCCAUUGUAUUUUUCAAAUUCUGGGGUUUUGAAUUUUGGUAUGAGCACCAGAUCCAGGACCAAACUCAAUUCCUUAACACCGACACCACAAAGGUAGCCAGUACUCUCCAUAGCUCUGAAUUUCUCCUCCAGUUAAUUACACCUAUCUGCCAACUGUUUUGAAAGUUCUACUAUUACCCUUUUUAUUUCUGUCAUGUCUUCCAAAUCUAGAACAAUGGGGUUGGUUGGAUUAUCUCCGGGGUUAGAACCUGAACCCAUUAGGUAAUUCACCGGUCCUAAGGUGCUAGCCUGGUAUUGUUGUGGUCUUAUGGUAACGGGUACUCUUCGUGGAUAUGUUUCCAGUUGGGCUUGGACGUUUACUAGGGUAAAGCCCAGGAGGUAUGUAGAGUCAUCGUUAUCAUCUCCAGAGUUUACCGCAACACUCUUCCCUUUUUCAAUUCCUUCAGCCAGUAAUUGGGUCAAUUGGCUUCUUAUGUCUCUUUGGGAUUCCAAUAUUUGGUCAUUCAUGUAUUGUUGCACCUUAGCUAAUUGAUCAUGCAACUGCGCUUACAACUGAGCUUGCAUGUCCCUCUGAAUUUGUUCAAGUCUUUCUAACCUCUGAUCCAUGGCUUUAGUUUUACCGCGGGUUGCAGGUGUACACAAUCGCAACAAGUAAUAAAGUGACAAGCAAUGAAAAACACUUUGGUAAAGAAAAAUAUUUUGAUUUGAGGAGGUGAUUAAAAACUAAGAUUUUUAACUAAGUAAAAUAAAUAAAAAUAAAAUGAAAGUUCCAAUGCACAAUUUCGAAAGAUGAUUUUAAUCAAGAUGACAUAAUUGUGUUAGAUUAAUUACAUUUCUUAACUUAGAAUUAUUAAACUCAUGUUUAUGUUGUUACAAAUAAAUUCACGGCAACUCGGUAAUUUGCUAACGUAUGAACAUACUUACCUACCAAAAUCUAUUUAUCUCUUGACAAUAUAUCUAUGUCAUUUCAACUGAUUAAACAAAUUUUAAUAAGAAAAUGUGUUAAUGCACAUACGUACUUAUGAAAUUAAAAUAAUAUCUUGUACAUAUCUCUAUGCCAAUUCAAACAAUUAAUUCAAUCUCAUAAGCACAUAAACGAUUACGUGAGGUAACAAUGUAUUUCUUCCUUGAAAUAAUUUAAUCACAAUAAUCUUGUAAGUUAUGCCAGGCUAAUGUAUCGUUAGAUACCGUUGCUAAUUUAACCCUCAGCUACCUUAGAUGAUUAAACAUGCACUGAUUAAGUAUCGUGUCAAUUAAUUACAAUUUCAAUCCGUUUAAAUAAUUAAUUCAUUAGUUACCUUGUAAUUGUAAUGCAUGAAUAACUUAGUCAUAGUUUUACUUAAUCAAGCAUAUUACCGAGGCCUAUAGCAAUACAAACAUAAUUUUAAUAACUCAAGUAGAUGAAAUGCAAUUGACCUAACACGAAUUAAAUUUAAGCCAUAUUAAUUAAAUUAAACAUACCAACAUCACAAAUAUUCAUAGACAUGUUCAUCAUAACAACAACAAAAUUAAAAGGAUAGGGAACAAGAAUCAAAUUCGGUGUUUCUCUGAGGCUUGACUAGUUUGCUCCACUCCUCCUUCUCCGCUUGUUCUUGUUGAACCGAGGCUUCCAUGAACACUUGAAUACUUCUAUAAAUGGUGGUUGAAGGACUCUUUUUCAAGAGGUGAAAUUGACCAAGGAAUAAGGAAGGAAGUGAAGAACAAUAAAGAGAGAAAAAUGAGAGAGAAGUGAAGAAUUGAUGGUUUUGAUAUGUGUUUGAAAUGAGCAGCCAAGGGGGUAUUUAUAGGUUGAGUAGGCUGCUAAAAUAACAAAAAUCAGCAGCCAUAGAGUCCCCCCAUGGCCGGCCACACAUGAUAAGUGGAGGGGUUUGAAUGCAAAUUCAAGGAGUCUUUAAGGGCUGUUUUGUAAACCAAAUAAUCAGCAAAACAAGCUGAUUGGGCCAACAUGUGGGAUGGUUUUGGGCAGCCUAGUGCUCGGUUGGAUCGAUUUUCUCGGUUCAACUCAACUAAGCCUCUUUUCAUAAUUAAUUAAUAAUAAUUAUUUAACCCAAAAUAUAUUGGAUUAAAAUUAAAAUUAAUUAUAUUAUGAAUUAAUAUUCAUAAUUUGGACUGUCUUCAGUUGAAAAAUUAAUUCACUUUGAUGCUUCAAAAAUUGUUUCUCGGUUUUCCGCUUCUAGCAGUCUCCGCCAAGCUAAUUUUUGCUCUUUAUGCAAAUCUGUCGAAAAUGAUCAAAAUUUAUUAUAAAAUUAAUGAAAAUUUAACAUGUUAAUAAUUUAAGUAAAAUUUAAUUAUUUUAUAAUUAUUAUAUAUUUUUCGACAAGAAUUACAACGAAUUUACAUGAAUUUGAGUUAAAAAGAGCAUAAAAAAUGUGCAUAUUUUCGUGUUUCCAUGGGUACUGUAGCGAUAUUCAGUUGGCAGGUUCUUGGUGGUUUCUAGGGUAACUUUCAUAAUUUUGAUUAAUUAGGGUCUUUUUAUGAAAUUUAAUGCAUAUAAUGAAAUGUAAUGCUAAUUAAUGGAAAAGAUGCAUGCAAAAAAGCACUGAUUCUAGUUUAAUUCCAUUAGAACAACUUUACUAGAAAAUGAGUUUUUUUUACAUAAAAUGAAUACUUCCACUUUAUCAAGAAACCCAUUUUCCAUGACAAACUCUCUUUUAGCAAUUGAACACAAAUCAACACCUUUCCUCUAAGAUGAAAAUGUAAUGCAACCACAGCCGAAACAAAAUGAAACAUGUUAGUACAUUUUGUAUGAAGCUUGAAUACAAAGCAAAAAUAACAAUUAAAAUGUCUCUUCUUUAUAAUCUAUUCGGGUAACCGCUAAAUGUUUGACAUAGUUAUUCCUAGGUUUGACUCUUAGGGUUUAUUACAUGCGGUUUGGUUCUAAAGUAAUGGUACCUGAACAGGUAAAUUCCUCGAUCCUUACCCAUUAUAGGCUCAUACGGAUCGAGUUCAGUUUAGGGGAAUACAUUUUCCUAUGUUUGUACAGAGGUGAAGACCUCACGAAAACAUAGGUACGGAUGUAUCCCGAAAGCGAUCUACUAUCCUAUACAGAGGUGAAGACCUCAUGAAGGAAUAGCUUCUCACUCUCACUUAAGAAGGGUAAAAUGGAAUGAUUAUGCUAUGCAAUAUGUAAAAACAUACAAAGAGGAACUCUCAAACCAAUAAAACAGAUGUAUUAGAUCGUUACAUAACCCGAGAUAACAAAGACAUUAUUUACCAUCAAAAUAAACAUGAAGGAUGAAAUGUAGGGAAGCGAGCGUCAAUUUAAACCGAAUUCAAUUUUCGACAAAAAGACCAAAAGGUAAUCAACUCGCAACUCGACUCUCUAAUAUGGUAUCCUUAGUGGAGUCACCAAGCUGCCGAAACUUUUUUGGAAAUCAAGUUUUUACUUUAAAAAUGAAAAAUAGAGUCGCCACCAAUCCUUUUUAAUUAGGUGUGAUUGGAUCACCUUAAAACUUGGUCAUUUUAAUAAAAUGUUAGAUUUACUAAAAUGAUGAUUUUCAAACUACAAAAUCUAGGAAAUGGGUUCAGGAGUCGGUUACAUAUGAGAAAGGAUUAGCACCCUCAUAAUGCCCAAAAUUGGUACCAAAUUUAUUACUUAAUGUCUUGACAUAAAAAAUUGAGAAUAUGAAGAGAAUUUAAAAUGCGAUCCCUUUCGCGCAAUGUUAUUUGAUGGUAUUGAAAAAAUCUCUAUCUAAAUUGAAUUUUUAACGAGGAGAUCUUCUCAUUUCGGGUCGAUCAAGACGAAAAAUCAUAUCCCGUAAGUUAGGGCACAAAAUCUCGAGUUCUCGAAAAUAAUAACACUCACCUUUUAAUUAUUGCCAAAAUCUUAUAUAUUUAAUUAUUUUUUAAAAAAGAGAGAAGAGACGUUUGAUUAUUUCGGUUCAAGGAAAAAACCGUACCUCAUAAGUUAGGGGCACAAUUUUUUGAAUCCUCAAAGUAAAAAAUAUCGCCUUGGUUCAAAUCAUUUCUUAUGCGUUUGCGAAGAAAAACAGAUGGAUGUAUGUAGCAAUAUUUACAAUGCACGAUGAUGGCAAAAUUAUGACAUUAACAAAAUAACAACAUAAAUAAUAAAAUAAAAUGACAAUAAUAUAAUGAGUACAAUAAAAAGUGAUGAAAUAAAAUAAUAAAAAAUGAUGAAAUAAAAAAAUUCAAUUAAUAAUAUUAUACAAUAAUACUAAUAGUGAAAUAAUAUAAAAAUGUAUGAUAAUAAUAUGAUUAUGUUCAUAAAAUAUUGAUUUUUGAGUGAAUUUUAACAAAAUUAAUAUUAAUUAACAACGAUGAUCACUUAAUAAUAUUAAUAAUAUCAAUAAUUAAGAAUAAAUGACCAAAAUAAAAUAAUCGAGAAAUUUGACGGCAAAAAAUUAAAAAAAACAGCAAGUACAUGGACUGAAUUAAAUGAACAGGGGACUAAAUUGAAACUGUGACAAAACCUCAAGUAUAAAUAAAUAAAAACACUAAAUAAAUGGGUUAAAUAAAAAAACCAAUAAAAUACAGGGACCAAAAAGGUAAAUAACCCCAAAUCAGUACACAUCAUUCACUAAAAGGUCUAUAGUCUGGGGACUGAAUUUAAUAUGUAGCAAAUUUUACAGCAUAAAUCAUAAAAAAAACAAAAAAAAUAAUAUAAAGGAUCAGAUUAAAAUAAAAUGGAAAAGUGCAAGGCCUCAAAAGGAAACUAUCCCAAUCCCACAUCAUUUCCUUGAUUCAAUAGUGGGUCCAAUGAUUGACUUGCAAGGAGAUUAAAAUUAUGGGGUAAAAAUGAAAUAAAUAAAAAAUGAGUAUAGGAUGAAAUUAAAAAAGGGAAAAAAUGGAAGGGUCUAGGAAGUAAUUUUCUUAACCCUUUAAAAAACAUGCAGGUCCUAGGGUCAUUUGGGUCGGAUCUUCGGGUUAUGCUCGAAAAGACGUCAUUUUGGGCAUCUGAAGCCAAUCCCAAAACGACGUUGUUUUAAAGGGCUUAUAUAAGUAAAAAAAUUCUAAAAAAAAAUCAUUUGCAACCUUUUAAAAAAAACUCUCUUUACCCUUUCUCAACUCCCCCUUUCCGAUCGGUCGUGGGAUGGUGGGUCUCCGUCGUGGCCACCAGUCAUCGACAAUGGAGAUUGCCGCCUCCAAUGGCUGGAGAUCGCCAAAAGACCACUUUUUUAACCCUUUCGACUUCCUUAACCCAAAUCCAGGGCUAAAUACCCCUGAAACUUCACUACAAUUCCUAAAAAAGCCCAGGGAACCCUUCGGUUUAUUUCCUCCGACGAACCUCAAGGGGUUCAAAGACCCUCCCAGAUCGGAAGAAGACCUUUCAGUGGUGAUAAAUAGGUAAAUUUCAAACCUUUAUUUUAUUUUUUUCUUAUGUUUUUCGAAAUAAAAAUAGAAAAGAAGAUGAACCUUAGUUUUUUUUAAACCUUGUUUCUAUAUUUUAUAUGCUCUUUACGAAAGAAUAAAAAGAGAAUAAGAAUCAAAAUAGAAGUCUUAAAAAACUACCUUUGUAAUUUGUUUUUUUUUUCUUUAUAUUCUCUGCUAAAUUUCUUAGUAAAAAGGAAAGAAAAAUUACAAAUUGUUCAUUGGCUUUUUAUAGCUGAAAAUACAACAUAUUAUUUUUGUCUUCUUUCUUUCUAUCUCUCUGCUUCUAUUUCUCUAUUUUAUGCAGGUGGUGGCAGCAAGGACGAGGAGGCGGUGUCAUGCCUCAAAGGGCACACCUGCUGACGUGGCGAGGGGAGCGGCGACUGGAGACUUUAGGAGGAGUUAGGGUUUUUGAAUUUUUUUUAAUGUUUGGGGCUUUAGGCUUAGGUAAAUUGGACUUUAGGGUUUUGCAUUUGGGCUUGUAAUGGAUUGGCCUUUUAAUUAAUGGACUAUUUUUUGUUUAUUUAUUUAUGUUUUUAGGUUAUUUUUGGGUCGAAUGAAAAUUGGCCCCUACGUAACCGGUCCCUCUAGACAUGCACACUGUUCCUUUAUCUCCUUCCAUAUCUUUUACCUUUCCAGAGGAAUGGGUGGUAUUCUUAAUUAUUGCUUCCGUGGCAUUGUUUGUUUUGACUUUGAAAUGCGAAGUCAUGCACAAUAUUAACUUGUGCAUUAUAUAUUUCUCAAUAUAACAAUAAGGUAAAUAAUCAUUUUAAUACCAUAAGGAAUUUUAUAUACAUAUGUGUAGACUUACCCAUUAAGCCAACAUAUAUUUCUACAUAUUCAAACACAUUUUGUAAUUUUCCUAACAAUUCAUCAAUAUUAGUUACUUAUUUGAAAUCACGAAAACAAAUCAGAUCAUGAUAGUACAAACUAGACCUGUCCAUGGGUCGGGCCGGGUCGGGUUCAGGCCGGGUCCACAAAAAAUUUUAGCCCGUGUACUAGGCUCGGGCUCAGCCCGGCCCGAAAUAUGGGCUUAAGAUUUUGCUCAGGCCCGGCCCGGAGAAAAAAUAUGGGCCCGAGCCCGGCCCGGCCCGGCCCAUUUUUAAUUAAAAUUAAAAUUAUUUUUUAAAUAAAAUUAAAACUAAUUGUUAUUAAAAUUAAUUGUUAGUAAAAUUAUCAAAUUAUUAAUUGUUAAUUGUAUUAAUUCUUGUAAUAAAAUCUAACAUUUGAUUAGUAAAUUUAUUAAUUGUAUUAAUUGUAUUAAUUGUUGUAAUAAAAUCUAACAUUUGAUUAGUAAAUUUAUCAAAUUAUUAAUUGUAUUAAUUGUAUUAAUUGUUGUAACAAAAUCUAACAUUUGAUUAGUAAAACAAACUUGAUGUUUUAUUAUUAUUAUUUUGUAACGCUAGUCAAGGAAAUGAAAGUAAAUAAACUUAAAAUAAAAAACUAUUACAUUUUAAAAAUAAAAAAUAUAUAUUUAAUUUUUUCGGGCCGGGCCAGGCCAAAAAAAUCUUACCCGAGGCCCGGCCCAUUUUUUAAACGGGCCAAAAAUUUUGCCCAAGCCCAUAUUUCAAGCCUAUAUUUUUACCCAAACCCUCCCAUAUUUCGGGCGAGCCGGGCCAGGCCGCCCGACCCAUGGACAAGUCUAGUACAAACUAGAAUAGCUAGUCUUCAACAAUUUUCUCCUUCCCUUUAUCUUUCAACGAUCUAGCUUUGUCUUUAACUACGUUUGAUAGAUUAAAAUAUAACUACAAAGUUAAAAUCACACAUUCAAUUAAUCACUCAUUCAGUUUGUGCAUGAUAUGCAUUUAUUCAAUUUAUUCCUUAUAAACUCUAAUAUCUGGUGUGCUUGUAUUUCGCGAUUUAUCUAGUCAAAUUUAAAAUCAACUUCAUAAUUAUAGUACAAGGACCUCUUACUAUCAUUAUUUAUUAUCAAACCUUAAAGUUGAUAACCCUUAUGCACGUUUACUUUUCAUCAACCAUGUAAUACCAAUGAGAGGAUAUCAUUUACCCAUGUCUUAGGCUAUGAAUUCCACUGUUGUGAAUGAUGCUACAUACUGCAGAAGUCGUACACCAAACGCACCAACUUUUGGUUCCUUAUCUAUUCAAACUUAGGCUUUUACUUACAUCAAAAUGUAUGAGUCACGCGUACAUAGUUCGUCAUCCACUCAGGAUUUAGGUAUGUCUCACUAUGAACGUCACAAGUGAAUAAAUCCAUAAACAGAUUCAAGAUCUAUUUUUCUUAGGUCCAGUCCGAUAUAUUGUUAGUCUAGUUAGUCACAUCCAUGUCUUUAUCUUUUGUAAGUCAUCCGCUUCGAUGCCCAAGAUAAAACAUUUCGCCAAUUAGACUUCAUAGACGACAUAUUAGUCUUUUAAUCAGUUUGCUCAUUUCCGAUUAGAUUAAGGACAUGUUUAGGUUCAUUUACUAAUAUAAGUUAUCUUUCUAUAUUACGAUCUGACCACGUAAUACUGCUUAAUAUUAGUUAAACAUUAGAUAACCAGUAUUUUGUUAAAUUCAUGUUCAUUAUAACGUUAUUUUUUAGUUACAUGAAUACCGACUUUUUUUUUUUAAAUGUGACAUCAACAAAAUUGAUAUAAGAAAAUUAACAAUGUUAACAAUUUGGCUUGAUUUUCAAAUCUGAAAAGUAGAGAGACUAAAUUCUUGAAAAUAAAAGUACAGGGACUAAAUUUCAAAUUUGUGAAAAGUACAUAGACUUAUGACAUAUUUUAUCCUUUAUACUACAAAACAUUUAUUAUUAAUAUAUUUAUAAUUGUAAUAAAUAUUUAUCAUUAAAAUAAAACUGAAAUAUUAAGUCAUUUAUUAAAAUAAAAAAUUAUAUUAAUAAUUUAUUAUAUGAUUAAAUAUAGAUAAUUAAAAAUGUAUGUUUAAUAAUAUUGAAAAUUAUAAUAUUUUAUAUGGGAAUAAAUUAUAUUAGGAUGAUCCUAACAAAUAUAGUUUUUAGGCACAAAUAAAAUAGUGACACGUCACAAAAUUUUAAAGAUAACAAAGUAUUAUUAUAUAUUCAUUUAUAUCUAAUAUCUUCUCCAACUUAAUUUAAAUUUAAUUGAAUUACUUAAAAUAAUUAAUUUUUAAAUUAUAAACAAAUAUCUUUACUUCUUUUGCAAAUUUUAAUCAUUUAGUAUUUUUUCUCCCAUAAGCUAAUAUUUUUUUAUUUUUGUGCAACCAAUUUUAAAAAAAUUAGUAAUUUUUGUGCAAUUUCUUUCAUGUCUUUAACACAUAAUUUUAGUAAUUAUUUUACCCUGAACCCCGAACCCAAAAUCCUAAACCUUGAACUCGAAUCAUGAAUCCUAAACCGUAAAUCCAAAACCUAAAACCCAAACCCUAAAUCUUAAACCAUAAACUUUAAAUCUAGAAUCUCAUUGACUAAGCUAUUUUCUAUGAAACAGAUACAAGAAAAUGCAGAAAACGUUUUCCAAAAACCAUUUUCAAUGAAAUAUACAGAGUCUAAAUGAAAAUAAUGAGACAAUGUCCCAGGUUAAAUCGACUAAUAAAUCUUUCGCCAUUUCAAUUAUUGGUGUUUAUUAAUAAUUGGAUACCCUUUUCCUAGUUGAGUGAAUUUACGAGUUUUAUUUAAAAUAAAUAUUCAACAUUUUUGUGGACACCAAAAAAUAUUGAAAAUCAUUUUAUUUUGAAAUUCAUGUUAUUAUAUGUGAAAAAUUCAAGGGAUUAUAAUUAAAUAUUAGGUAUUACAUUUUUAAAUUUCAAAAUUUAAUUUAUAAUUUCUAUUCAUGUUUUAGGUAGAGUUAAUUUUUUUAAAUAUUGGUCAGCUUUCAGCUAAAGAGAACUCAAGGGAUGAUUUUAAGCUAAAGAGAACUCAAGGGAUGAUUUUAAUCUAUAAUUUCUAUUUGCAUUUUAAGUUGAGUUAAUUUUUUUUAAAAAUAAAUUAUAAACUAAAAAUUUAAAAGUUACAAGUUUCUAUACUUUCAUAUAUUUGAAAUUUAGUUCUCAUACUUUUAUUUAUAAGAAUUUAAUCCAUUUACCUUUUAAAUUUAAAAAUUCAGAUUUAGUUGUUAACACCAUUAACAUUUUUCUGUUAAAUUUUUAUGACAUUUUGAACAUUUUUUAGAAAAAUAUAAUAGAACCUAAAUAACUAAAUUUAAUGAUUUUAAAAAUUCUUAAAAUUCACAUAAAUAUUGUAACUAGAAUAAAAUAUUUAGAGUCACUAAUAACAUUAUAAAAGUUAAGGUACAAAAUUAUAUAUUGUAAAACUAUAAAGUUUAAAUCUCAAAUUUGAGCAUAGUAUAUAGAGACCAAAACUAAAAUUUGAAAAAUAUAAAUUAGUAGAUAGCAGCAAGUAGGAUCGUAUCCACAUAGACCGGUGUUAAUUUUAAUUCUUUAAAAGUAAAAAUAAAGGGGGGUUAGAAUUGAAAACUAAAACAAAGUAAAAAGAGAUCAUAAAAGAAAAGAAAAAAAAUCAAUAGUAAAAAAUUCUAGUCAAAGGUAAAAUUUCUGCUUGAUUCGUGGAUUUGAUCAUUGACGAAAAUAUAACUUCAAUGCUUUUAAUAAAUUAGUUCUAGUUGCUAACUCAGUGUCAGACAAACAAUCUCUCCUUACCUGUUUGGUAACCAAGAGAUAGUUCAUUUGAAUUUACUUCAUUAACCGACAAAUAAUCUUGCAAUUUAGCGUUCAAGAUUUAACUUACCGACAAUAUUAAUAAUGAGAGAGACCUAAUUCUAACCAACAAACUCACAUUAGUGGAAUUCAUUUAAGUUAGAUUGCACAUCCACACCACAAACAUAAGCUACGACUUAAACGAACUAUGCAAUUGGUCACUAGUAUUAAAAUAAAUUAAACAAUUAAAGAUUUAACUAAUCUAAUUGAUAAGGCAACUGAUCGCAGCCGCAUCUAUCUCUCUUUUCUAAAUGUUCAACAAAUAAGUCUAACAACAAUGAAAAUCUAAUGAGAUAAACAAAUCAAAUAACAAAUUAAAACAGUCUCACCAAAAUUUCAAAGUCACUCCCUUGAACUAUCGUUGAAAAUUUUCUUUUAUUACACCCGCUUUCAAAGAAAAAAAAUGAGUGAAGCGGGUAAAACGACAUUUAGGAUGUCAAAUAAAGAGUACAAUAUCAAAUAUAAUUUUUUUAAAAAUACCAAAAUAGCUUUUAACAUAUGAGUUUGGCUGUCCACUCCACCAAAAAAAAAAUAUUCAAACCGAGAGGGCCUCUGUUGACACGAAAGCACCACCCUGUGCAGGGGUGCGGACGUACAGGCGUGCAAUCGUGCGUCAAGGCACCAAAACAAGCAAGAGGGCGUCAGGCAAGACUGAGACUCGAAUUCUAGGGCGUCAAAAUUCGCACGCUAGGGGGCUACCCACCAACGCGGGGGCACCAAUGUAUCGAGCGUGCGUUAGGGUCUUGGGGGGAAAUGCGGGAAGGAUGCACGGGAUGUGGGAGCAAAUGGGAGGUUGGGCAUGCAGGGGAAGUGGAAAGAGAAUGGGGGAACGUGGGUUGGUUUUUCUCUUUUUAGUUCAAAACUUAUUAUUAAUAUUAUUAUAAACAACUAUAUGUAUAUAAAUAUGAAUAUGAUUUUUUUUUGAAAAAAUAUUAAAUAAGAAAAAACCUUUUUUUGUCCCGUUCAAUUUUCUAGACUUCGUUGAAUGCCUGAUUCGCUCCUCUGACUUGAUUUUACACACCAAAAAUACUAAAAAAAAUUAAAAACGAAAAGACUUGAAAUAAAAUACAAAUAAAUAAUGCAAAUGAGAUAAAAUUAAAGUGCUAUGUAAACUAUAGAUACAUUAUACAUGCAAAACAAUGAAAACGAAAACUAAUAAAAAUAAAAAUAAAACUAAAACUAAAAAUAAAAUAAUAUAUAUUUAACCACGAAGUUGUCUCUCUGUAAACGCCUUUAUUUAACGUCUUUAGUUAGACAUUCUUAAAUGUUAUUUCACCAUCGAAAGACUCGAAUAAUGUCAUGACUUUUAAAGUCGAAAAUUAGACAUAAAUUGGAAGUUGAGUCAACUUUCAAGUGUUGAUUCCCUUUUGGUUCAUUAACCAACCAUUUCCAAACCUAAUUAUAAUUUUAAUAUAGUAAAAGUACGUGAUUGGGUUGAAGGGAUGAUAGUUAUUUGAUGUAACCUGAAGUGUAAAAUGUCUAAAAAUAAAUCAAAUAUUAAAAUUAAAAUAUUAAAAUCAAUGUUGUAAUAUUAGUUAUAACCCUAGAAUUUAUCAAGAGUGCCCUCUUGAGUAUUGCCGAAUAAAGUAUUUUCGUGACAGGAAUGAAGUGAAACAAUGAAAAUCUAAAAGAAUUUUAGGAUGCGUUUUGACACAACAGAGUAAUUGGAUGAAAAUGUCAAUGUUAUUGUAGUAAUUAUACCCUCUUGUAAUUACAAGAAAAUGUAAUUUAUUUAAUAGGUUUGGUUGACUGAGUAUAAUUACAUUGUAGUUCUUCAUGUCGUGUUUGAUAGUAAAAAUUGCAUUUACAAGUUACAUAAUUUAACUUUUUUUAAAUAUUAAUUAUUAUAAAAAGUUACUUGAGGAAAAAAAUUCUAAAUAAGUAACAAAAAUUAAAAUAAAAUCAUUGUAUUCAAUAUGUUAAUCCAAGAAAAUAAUUGACAAUAGGAUUUCUAAUAAAAUAAUAAGAUAAAUCAACAUAAUGUGCAAUUUUAUCUAAUUGCUCUAACAUUUCAUAUUUGUUAAGUUAUUCCCUCUCUAACAUUUAACAUAUACUCCUUAUCAUUACUUAUUGGUCCUUCAUCAAUUUCUUCCUCAUCGGAAUCAGAAUUUGUGUCAUUAAUAUUAUCAAGAUUUUCUUUUUCCAUGUACUCUUUAAAGUAUUAAUCAUCUCAAUUUCACCUACGAAUGGAAGUUAUGAAAUAUGCAACAUGUUAACACGAUCCAAUCUUACUUUUUUUCAUACUAUACUAAGGUAGCAGUGUUAAUAUGAGAAAUCAUUUUUUAGAACAAUAAACGUCUUCUCAUCCACAUUUCGAAGUUUUGAAUAUCUGGAAUUAAAAAGUUUGUGAGUUGUCUUUGAUGUGCUAAUGUCUAAUUUUAUUCUCUCAAAUAAUAUCGUACCUCAUAAUAUGAUGCAAAAAAAUCUUUUGUAUUUACAUCAUCAAUAUCUACUAUAUAAUAUUUUUCUACAAAUAAUAACAUAUAACAAUUUGAAUAAUUUAUUAAAAAAUGAAAUAAAAUAAAUGAAAAGUGAUGAUAAUAUUAAUGAAUUACCAUAUGUAAUUAACCUAUUUUGAGAUGCCUCUCAAUAUUUAUUAGAGCUUUUGUAAACUUAAUUUGUAGUUUACUUACGAAAGCUAUUUUAAUAGCAAAUCAACUUUAUAAAUUUUUUUUAUAUAAAAAAGGUUCUUAUAACUUUUAUAACACUUAUAGGACGGAUUAUUGAGGUAAAAACAGGAACAGCAGAGGCAAGAAACUUGGCUCACUGGGAACUCUGGAUGCUUGCCGAAAGAAUUUCAGCCCUCUUUUGGAACACUUGCAUCUCCCUUCUUGCAUUACGGUGGAUAUUCAAGUAGGAAAAAUAUGUGCCCUUGGCCUACAUCAUCAUUAUGUUUAUAUCAUUGGAUAUUCAAGUUCGGUCCCUGUGGUUUCACCAUCACAGUGCAUAUUCUCUUAACGGAAUCGGUAAAAACUUUGUGAUUAUCAAUUGGGGUCAACGACUAGCUUGUACCUAAUACCAGACCCAAUGGCGAGGGGACGAAAGGACCAACCACAAAAGUAGGAAUCACUGGUCCAUGAAGCUAUGAACCCUGUACCUUCCCGUCACACAAAUGAUUCCUUUUCCCCCUUUCCAUCUCUAUAUUAUAUUUCUGCCUUAAAAAGUACUAUCUAUAAGGGUAUUUGCAUCAGAUAUUAAUACCCAAAUUUGAAAUAUUCCCUUCAUUUGGUUCCAUCAACUGAAUAUAUUCCUCUAUAAUAAAAAGAAAAGUAAUUACAGGCAGAGUGAUGGGUUCACAGCACGAGCAAGAAACUGCAUACAAUUAUCUCCAAAACAAACUAGCAUGUAUGAAGUCCAUGAAAAUACAUCCAUUCAAACAUGAAAAAUGCAGAAAAAUACAUUUAAAUUUUCAUGUAAUUGGAGCAAAAGAAUCCUAUAAUCUUCAAAAGAAGUAUUGCAUCAGCAUCAUCUAUUGAUUGAAUUGUAUCAGGCCCCCUUUGUCCCUGCAAUGAAACAAUGAGUUAACAUCAUUCCUACAGAUUCCAUACCGUGUUUAUGCUUACUAGAGAAGGCCUUUCUCCUUGCAGCUUUUAAUAGCUCCACCAUACAUAUCCUCAACCCCAUACUUGAAUCUGAAACCCAAAUCCAAGAGCUUCUUUGAUGACAAACCAGGCAAUUUAGCACCUCCAAUUCCUUCCAGGGUGCUGCAUGACAAGGAUUAAAAGCUUUUCUUUUACUCCAAAAAUUAACAUAACAUGAGCUGUAAUUAGAAUAAAAAUAAAAAUUCUACUCACUCUACAAUUGGGAAUUCUGGAUGGGUAGUUGAAAGAAUUUCAACUAUCUUUGGAGCAGUAACCGUAUCAGAGGAACAAUUAUACCUUCCUUUUGCCUCAGGAUGCUCAAGCAGGAAGAUGAAUGCCCUUGCCAAAUCAUCCAUAUGCACCAUUGCAAGAUUGAGAAGAAGAUUAUUGUUUUUCCUACUCCCUGAACAGAUAAUCAAUAGGAUAAACUACAUCUGUAUGUUAAAUUGAUUCAUGGUAAGUAAGAAAAACAAGUUCAACAUAUACCUAGGAUGGGAGACAAUGCGGUGCGCACUGGACCAUGCAUCUUGGGACAGAUGAAGGGACCCAGAACCAUAGGAGGAAUGAUGGAAACCAAAUCCAAUCCAUGUUGUGCUGCAAAUUCAAGAACUGCUUUUUCUGUCGAAGUCUUGGUAAUGGCAUAAGAACUCACAUAUGACUUAACUUCUGAUCGAAUGUAAUCCACAUCACUCCAAUAACUCUCGUCCAUAAUCUCCACAUUCUUGAUCUUGUUGAAAUAUACGGCGGUAAUACUAGAGGUGUAUACAACUUUCUUCACUGUGUUUGAUCUCAAGCAUGUCUUCAAGAUGCCUAAUGUUCCAUCGAUUAACCUUUGGGUCACAACUGCUUCGGGUUCGUUGUCCUGGAAAUCCAUGGGAGCAGCAACAUGGAAAACUCCUUUGCA
Molecule: long non-coding RNA, 23652 nt
Filed under: Gossypium barbadense (sea-island cotton)
Lineage: Eukaryota; Viridiplantae; Streptophyta; Magnoliopsida; Malvales; Malvaceae
Description: long non-coding RNA (GBAR_LNC017915)
Source: RNAcentral